Long non-coding RNA from Egretta garzetta (little egret), 840 nucleotides. RefSeq lists it as uncharacterized. NCBI's taxonomy places the organism in Eukaryota, Metazoa, Chordata, Aves, Pelecaniformes, Ardeidae. The transcript has 3 exons. The record is from RefSeq and is a predicted model, not a curated record.
AAAAAACAGCCAUCCAACCUCCCUGACCUUUCAGUCCUAUUCACCCGAGGGAAGGCACCCGCCUCUGUUGAUCCCACAUUCCCCUACACCACCCUGCUGCAUCCCCUUGCCUCUUCCAGGCCCUCUUUUUGACCUCUCUUUUUCCCUCCUCAACCUCCAUCCCUGCCUGACAUUAGGAAGAGGAGCAGCCCUGCCUACGCAGCUUCAGGCUCCUCCGUAGCUCCUACGGCAGACAGCAAUCUGCAUCCGAGGGGUUUUGUUGCUCCCGAGCCUGUGGGAAGGAUACUCUGCACAGCUGCGGACUGCCCAGGACUCAGCACCACUCCAGCAGCGAUAAAUCCCAAACCAGAGGGCAAUUUGUCCUUUUUUAACUAGUGCAGGUGCCUUCAGAGGGAUUAAACUGGCCUCGUGGAAACUGGACCCCCUCCAGCCUGGGAGCGCUGUGGCCAUGCUAGAAGUCCCCUCGCAUCACACCAACCAGUGGGGAUGAACACGAGGUACCGCUUCUGCAAACUUUUGGUUUACCCUGCCUGUUUCCAGCACUCUGGGAUUUCUCUGCUCUCCUUCCCCAGCACCCCAGCCAAAGUGGCUGCUGCCUCAAGGCCACCUGCGCCCGGGCCGGGCCCUGCCGCUGAGAGGUGACACGGCAUGUCCUCAUGUCCUCACCCUCCUCGUGCCACAGCUGCAUCCUCCUGAAUAACCUGCGAUCUGUCCCUGCGCGGCACCAGGUGCUCUCCAGCAUCGUGUCCCUGGGGGGACGCUACCACAGCACCCUAGAAUCAGGUUUUCAUGCAGCUCCCAAGGCAGUUGGCAGUGGAGGGGGGGGGGAAGGGGGGGGCA